RNAcentral lists this ribosomal RNA (261 nucleotides) under uncultured bacterium. Its description in RNAcentral is "partial 16S ribosomal RNA". It matches the Rfam family "Bacterial small subunit ribosomal RNA", at positions 524 to 777 of the family's 1533-position model. The record is from RNAcentral.
UACGUAGGGGGGCAAGCGUUGUCCGGAAUUAUUGGGCGUAAAGAGCGCGUAGGCGGUCCGGUAAGUCGGUUGUGAAAGUCGGGGGGCUCAACCCCUCGGAUGCCGAUCGAUACUGUCGGGCUAGAGUCCGGAAGAGGCGAGUGGAAUUCCUGGUGUAGCGGUGAAAUGCGCAGAUAUCGGGGAGGAACACCCAGUGGCGAAGGCGGGCACUCUGGGCCGGAACUGACCGCUGAGGAGCGAAAGCGUGGGGAGCGAACAGGG